UACGGAGGGUGCAAGCGUUGUCCGGAAUCACUGGGCGUAAAGGGCGCGUAGGCGGCUCAUGAAGGCUGUGGUGAAAGUCCGGGGCUCAACCUCGGAUCGGCCGUGGCGACUCGUGGGCUGGAGCACUGUAGAGGCGGGUGGAAUUCCGGGUGUAGCGGUGGAAUGCGUAGAGAUCCGGAAGGACACCAGUGGCGAAGGCGGCCCGCUGGGCAGUGGCUGACGCUGAGGCGCGACAGCGUGGGGAGCGAUCCGG
Molecule: ribosomal RNA, 253 nt
Filed under: uncultured bacterium
Lineage: Bacteria
Description: partial 16S ribosomal RNA
Rfam family: Bacterial small subunit ribosomal RNA
Source: RNAcentral